UACAGAGGUCCCAAGCGUUGUUCGGAUUCACUGGGCGUAAAGGGCGCGUAGGUGGUUCUGUGUGUCUACCGUGAAAGCGUACGGCUCAACCGUAUUUUGUCGGUAGAAACUGCAGGACUUGAGGCUGGGAGGGGCUGGUGGAAUUCCCUGUGUAGCGGUGAAAUGCGUAGAUAUCGGAAGGAACACCGGUGGCGAAGGCGGCGACCUGGGACGAUACUGACGCUGAGGUGCGAAAGCGUGGGGAGCAAACAGG
This 253-nucleotide ribosomal RNA is filed under the name uncultured prokaryote. RNAcentral describes it as "partial 16S ribosomal RNA". It matches the Rfam family "Bacterial small subunit ribosomal RNA", at positions 524 to 776 of the family's 1533-position model. The record is from RNAcentral.